RNAcentral lists this ribosomal RNA (934 nucleotides) under Triticum aestivum (bread wheat). RNAcentral describes it as "partial small subunit ribosomal RNA". Lineage: Eukaryota; Viridiplantae; Streptophyta; Magnoliopsida; Poales; Poaceae. The record is from RNAcentral.
GCUAACGGUACAGGCGAGAGCUCAUAAAGGCCUGUUUUAUGACUCUGAUCGAUCGUCCAGUUACGGUCGUUCGAGGUUGAAGGAGGGGGUAGGUUGUGGGAGGCCGAGGUUCUAGACUUAGUUCUUUGGGCGGCCGCUACCCCGAGACGCUGACGAACCCGCUCACGACCCUGCUGACGUUCACCCGUAAUCGCACGGAGCGGCGGCAGCGGCGACAGUAGUAGUAGCGGCAGUACCAGCGGCGGAUGUCGAAGCGGCAGGUCGGUAGGUAGUGGCAGCUCCUGCGGAGCGACUGGUCCAAACGCGACCGCUGGUGGGGCCACUGGAGCGAGCCCAUGUUGGAGAGGGACUUCGAGCAGCAAGCGUUGGCCUUGACCCGCUGCUGGUACUUCUUGUGCCUCGGCGACCUCCGCCGCAUGUUCAAGCUGCCCGUCGUCAAGCUCGCGCACGUCCAGCGGCUGUUCCCGCUGUUCGUGCCGGGGUCCUUCUGGGCCCACAUGGCGGAGCUGAGCCCGAGUCUGUCGCGGAUGCGGCGCGACCCGUUGCGGCCGCAGCGGCGCAUGUUCCUCGUCUUGUUCUGGCCCCUCAAGCUCGACCUCCACCGCCAGUGCCCGCUCCACGCCAUGUGCGACGUCGACUUCUUCUUGUUCGACAGCCCCUGGACGUUCGAGUUCGACUUCUAGCUGAGCGGCCGCUGCCGGCGGCACCACAAGCUCUUCCACUUUACGUUCGAGCUCUUCCUCUUCUUCCUCAUCAAUUAAACGAUCGAUGACACGUGACAUACCAAAAGUAGGUUUCAAGCUUCGUUAGAUACCGCCGGCCAACGGUUGAACGGUAUAGCUCAUCAACAUCAUGAAGAGUUAAUAAACUAAGGAAGAAAUAGGAAUACAUUUUACUAAAAGCUACCACUUAGAACCCUCCACAAACAAAGUCG